GAUGAACGCUGGCGGCGUGCCUAAUACAUGCAAGUCGAGCGAACAGACGAGGAGCUUGCUCCUCUGACGUUAGCGGCGGACGGGUGAGUAACACGUGGAUAACCUACCUAUAAGACUGGGAUAACUUCGGGAAACCGGAGCUAAUACCGGAUAAUAUAUUGAACCGCAUGGUUCAAUAGUGAAAGACGGUUUUGCUGUCACUUAUAGAUGGAUCCGCGCCGCAUUAGCUAGUUGGUAAGGUAACGGCUUACCAAGGCAACGAUGCGUAGCCGACCUGAGAGGGUGAUCGUCCACACUGGAACUGAGACACGGUCCAGACUCCUACGGGAGGCAGCAGUAGGGAAUCUUCCGCAAAGGGCGAAAGCCUGACGGAGCAACGCCGCGUGAGUGAUGAAGGUCUUCGGAUCGUAAAACUCUGUUAUUAGGGAAGAACAAAUGUGUAAGUAACUAUGCACGUCUUGACGGUACCUAAUCAGAAAGCCACGGCUAACUACGUG
Molecule: ribosomal RNA, 497 nt
Filed under: uncultured bacterium
Lineage: Bacteria
Description: partial 16S ribosomal RNA
Rfam family: Bacterial small subunit ribosomal RNA
Source: RNAcentral